Molecule: microRNA, 22 nt
Filed under: Macacine gammaherpesvirus 4 (Rhesus lymphocryptovirus)
Lineage: Duplodnaviria; Heunggongvirae; Peploviricota; Herviviricetes; Herpesvirales; Orthoherpesviridae
Description: rlcv-miR-rL1-33-5p
Gene: rlcv-miR-rL1-33-5p
Source: miRBase by way of RNAcentral
CAUUGUCUUCAUUUGCCCUUGC